GUGAACGCUGGCGGUAGGCCUAACACAUGCAAGUCGAACGGCAGCACAGUAAGAGCUUGCUCUUACGGGUGGCGAGUGGCGGACGGGUGAGGAAUACAUCGGAAUCUACUUUUUCGUGGGGGAUAACGUAGGGAAACUUACGCUAAUACCGCAUACGACCUACGGGUGAAAGCAGGGGAUCUUCGGACCUUGCGCGAUUGAAUGAGCCGAUGUCGGAUUAGCUAGUUGGCGGGGUAAAGGCCCACCAAGGCGACGAUCCGUAGCUGGUCUGAGAGGAUGAUCAGCCACACUGGAACUGAGACACGGUCCAGACUCCUACGGGAGGCAGCAGUGGGGAAUAUCGGACAAUGGGCGCAAGCCUGAUCCAGCCAUACCGCGUGGGUGAAGAAGGCCUUCGGGUUGUAAAGCCCUUUUGUUGGGAAAGAAAAGCAGCAGGUUAAUACCCCGCUGUUCUGACGGUACCCAAAGAAUAAGCACCGGCUAACUUCGUG
RNAcentral lists this ribosomal RNA (491 nucleotides) under uncultured bacterium. RNAcentral's name for it is "partial 16S ribosomal RNA". It matches the Rfam family "Bacterial small subunit ribosomal RNA", at positions 29 to 507 of the family's 1533-position model. The record is from RNAcentral.